RNAcentral lists this unclassified non-coding RNA (228 nucleotides) under uncultured fungus. Its description in RNAcentral is "sequence contains ITS1, 5.8S rRNA gene". The stretch from base 180 to 228 matches the Rfam family "5.8S ribosomal RNA", at positions 1 to 49 of the family's 154-position model. Lineage: Eukaryota; Fungi. The record is from RNAcentral.
UCUCCGUAGGUGAACCUGCGGAGGGAUCAUUACUGAGUGAGGGUUUAACCGCCCGACCUCCAACCCUUUGUGAAUCGUACUCGUUGCUUCGGGGGCGACCCUGCCGCUUCGGCGGUGCGGCGCCCCCGGAGGCCAUUAAACACUGCAUCAUUGCGUCGGAGUUAAAGUAAAUUAAACAAAACUUUCAACAACGGAUCUCUUGGUUCCAGCAUCGAUGAAGAACGCAGC